Myotis lucifugus (little brown bat) is the source of this 560-nucleotide long non-coding RNA. RefSeq lists it as uncharacterized. Lineage: Eukaryota; Metazoa; Chordata; Mammalia; Chiroptera; Vespertilionidae. The record is from RefSeq and is a predicted model, not a curated record. The transcript has 3 exons.
UCCACUCAUUCAUGUAUUAAUUCUUGCAACUGACAAGUAACUAUUGACCAUCUGCUGUGUCAGAGAACACAGUUCACAGUGACAGGGAUGAACAAGACAGACAAGGUCCUGCUCUCCUGCAGCCUACAGUUCUGGAGUACAGAAGUCUGAAAUGGGUCUCACUGGGCUAAAAUCAAGGUGUCAGCAGGCCCGCAUUUCUUCUGGAGGCGCAAACCCAAUUCCUAGCCUUUUCCUUGGCCUGUGGCCUCUUUCCACCUUCAAAAUGAACUAUUCCAAACAAGCUGAUUCUCUUGGCAAAACAGCCCCAUCAAGAGUCUCACCAGCCUCUCCCUUGGGAACAUAAAGACUCAGACAAGCGGGGGAAAGACAAGGCUACACACCUGUCCCCAAUGGAAAAAGGAAGAACACACCUGGAAAGCAGCUCUGACAACAGGAGCCAAGGGGAGGAGAACAGUAAUUGGAGGAAAGAGACUGCUUCCAAUCUGUUGCUGGUUUAUAAGGUAAAUCUAUUCCUGGUGUAAAAGGGAUACAGUAGCAGCACAAUAAAAACUGGGACAAGG